Long non-coding RNA from Cyanistes caeruleus (blue tit), 5603 nucleotides. RefSeq lists it as uncharacterized. Lineage: Eukaryota; Metazoa; Chordata; Aves; Passeriformes; Paridae. The record is from RefSeq and is a predicted model, not a curated record.
ACCAAGAGGGACAUAUUACUAUUUUUUCUUCACCUUCUUUGUACACACAGAAGGAAAAAAAACCUAAAAAUCAUACUCCUGAACUUCUGUGAAAAUUCUGGACUGCAAUUUACAUGUUUGUGUUAUCCACUUUACUUAAGUUUGUGCAUAAAACACAAACAGCCUCUCCACAGCAACUGCUAUAUACCUAAAAUGGCACAGAAAAUCUCAUCUCCCUGUUUCAGGUGAAUCCAAACUACCCUUGUUACUGCCAUUAAACUAGUUUAUAUUCAGCCUUGAUGGGCAGAUUUAGGCCUAUGGUUUCUGUAAUUUUUCAGAAAUCAAGUUUAUAUGUAGUUAAGGAUAUAUACUAACCUUGUGAAACUGAAAAAAGCCUCUUGAAAUUCAACAUGUUUCACACAGAACCUACACUAGUAUCACAAAAUGAAAUAUCACCAUUUCAGAAGAACAGUGGAAAACUUAUAGACUAUGGGAAAGCAUGAUUCCAUAACUCUUCCAGUCUGAAGUUCUUAUGACAUGCAAAUCUCUUCUGCAGCUGGCAUAUGUAUCAGUAAAGCAAAUAAAGUUCCUGUGAAAGCCUGCCAGACUCCAUUAAAAUAAUCAUUGAAGCAAAGGUUCAAGAUGAGGGGUUUAUCCAGCUUGGUAUUAUUAAAGGAAAGCUCAUGUACACUAGAGGAACAUCCAGAAAUGUUUACAAAAGCACAGUAUUAGGUAACUGUCAAAAUGUGAGAGGAAGCCAGAGAUCUUAAGACAGACCCAAAUCUGAGAACAAUGACAUCUGUCACUGAGGUUCUGCAGACCUUGGUCUCAAAAAUACACCGAAUUAGGUAUACUUGCCUUGUAGAUUCCAAAGACACAUACACAUCAAUAACUACAUUUUUGACGAUAGAUGGACAAAAGGGCUACAACCCAAGAGAAAUAGAAGUGGUCUUCCAGAAAAAACACAGGGGAAGGACUACAAGGUUCCCUCCACUGGCAGGCUGCCCACUGACCUGCAGAGCAGUGAUCUGACCCAAGGCUGAUGGCCAGGACCUCAGUGCAAUGUAAUGCCAUUAAACCUUUUCUUUACGCUCAGGAAAAAAACCUUAAAAUCUGUCAGAACGCUGCAUAUUGCUUUUAAACACCCAACAUACUCCCUCACGGAACAAAUAAACACAAUAGCUAUGCAAAAACCUCAUAGCCAGGUUAACUGCCACAAAGCCUCUGGCCUAAGCUAGAAACAAAGGCUUUGCAGCACAUUUCCUUGAGUACUGACCACUUCCAUAGUUAAGAUCCAAAUUUGUCUGGGAGCAGAGAAUGAUUAUACGUAGGAAGAUGAGAAGCUGAACACACAAAACCCUAUCGUUCAGCAUCCUAUUUUUGCAACAAAACAGGUAACACAGUCCUUCACAACACAUUUGUGAUCACCUGCCUAUACAAAACUGCAGGCUAUUUCCCACAGGUGGGUCUGGCUGCCUGCUGCUGAGUCAGUCCCCCCUCAGUCAGGCAGACAGCUCCCGCAGGAUGACGUGUUCUGGAUCACCCUCCCAGAGCCCCUUCUCACUGCUGGCUGUCCCCAGUGCCCCGUGGGACGAGAACCACGCUGCACCAAGCACCAACCUGCACCAAGCACCAACCUGCUCUGCCCCAUGGUUGCCCGCAGGUCCUGCUGCAUGCACUGCAGCAUUUUUGUUUUGCCAUGCUGCUGCUCAGUUGUUUUCCAAGCAGUUUCGUGCAGCAGAUGUUCCCAGUCCCACAUGUGCUUUAUCGCUCCCUCUAAUGACAUUUUUCCUAUGAAAACAGUAGCUUCAACUGCUUUUGCUGUUUUUGUGAAAAAAACAAAUCCUACACUUUGGUUUUCUUUACAGACUUCUCAGAAAUAGUGGAGGUGGGGCUUUUCUCUCCUCGUCCUCCACCCAUACUGGUAGCAAGGGAAGACGCUUCCUUGGAGCCUCUACUCAGGUCUCCCUGCCUGUGCCCCCUGACUCCCACCGAGCUGUGGGAAAUGAAUUUUUGAAAGCUCUUCCCACCCCACUUGCUGAGAUGAAUGAAGACACAGACACACAAAAUAACUUCUUUAGACCACAGACAGCAAGAACAUUUUUAAAAACUCUCCUUUUUUCCUCUCUUGGCUGUUCAUGCAGACUCUGAAGGGGAACUUUGUCAGCCCCAAUAGUGAUGAGAGCAGCCUCUUCCUCCGCUUCUGCCUGAUGUACCUGUGACUUGUUUUGCUUCCCAAGCUGGGACCACAACAGCUCACUGCUUUGAGUGGUGCUGGCACUGAGUCACAGAAGAUGACAAAAUAAGGGGUGCCCUCACCACACAACACCUGAACAGAAGAGAUCCGUGCUCUGCAGGAGGAUGUGCAAUUUCCAUCCCUAUUCACCUGUCCCGCUCUUUGUCCAGAGUGGAUUUAGAACUACAACUCCUGUUUUAUAAUCUGCUCCCAAAUACCAGUUCACUCCACCCCUUUUUUCACUCCCUCCACACCUUUAGUCUGUCAUUUGCCUGGAAUUUUUUCCCCUUCUCCUCUUUACACUUCACUCCCACAGCUCACCCACCCACCCGACGAAUAAGAGGGGGAGAGCUCACAGGGGAAGAGAAAGGCUUUUACAGGUCACAUUCAAACUUACUGAAUUGAAGAGCAUCAUGGCUUCCUGCCUUUUCAGAAGGCAUAAUACUGCAGAUACAAAGUGCUGCUUGCCUAAAAAUAAAGACUCUGUUUGCUGGAAGCAUGAAGGAUAUGGAGCAGCACAGAACAUACAGGAGAAGGACGGGUAUAUUUCCAUCUGAUGGGGUUCACAGACUCCCCACUAGAAACCACAUAAUUAAAUACCAAGCCCUACAGUUUUGGUACUGAGACAAGCACUGAAAUAUUAAAAUGCAAAUUAGAAAUCUGACUCAAACUUGCAGGGGUCACCAAGUUCAAGGGAAUGCCUUGUACUCAUCCCUCCUCCAGUCCAACUUUAAACAUUAAGUGCUCUCUGUGUUUGAAAAGCUGUGUAAUACUGAAAAAAUGGGAUGGAUUAAGGACAGCAUGUUCAUUAGUUUUAGUAUUAGUUUUGAAGGUUUUGAAAGAUUUUGUCAGAAUUAUGCUUUGUGCAGAUACUCCUACCAGGAGCACACACUUUCAAACCAGCCCAGUGUCUGCAGCUCUCACAGCCCUCUAAUGGCUGCUCCAGCCCUAUGAGACACUUCAGUGCUCACACUGAAACGAAAUAGUCUCACUAAUUCACCACUAAUAAUUCCACCAGGUUUGAUUUUAAUUUGCAUGCAACUUCUCUGUGCUUGAGGAGCCAGAGAUACCCCAAUCAUUACAUUAAAAGGCUAACCACUACUUAAGCCUUUUUAAUUCACAGUGAAGUUUAUUCAGCUGUUCCUUUCCAGCUGCAAGGAGAGACCUUGAACUGUGAGGCAAAGUGACAGCUCUGGAAUGUAUUAACACGUGCAGAAAAACAGUCUCUGGACCUGCAGAAACUUACCUCCCCGGUUGUUUAAGGUCCUUCCAUCUGAGCAGCCAAUUGCCUAAGCUAUCAGAACCAAACACACUGAGGCUGAGUUUACGAAAGGCAAACUCUGGUUUAGCAGAUUUUGAACAAAAGAAAAUGGUCUCAUUGCUGCUAUUUAUUUUCUGCCUCACACAGAAAAUGAAGACAAAACUGUUCAAGACAAAACUUUGUGAAAUCCAUCCUCUUUAAGCCAGCAGUAAACUAAUUACGAGCAAAUUCUUCUUGCUUGCAUGUGUGCAGUUCCCAUCAAGUUCAGCAAGGCCCCACAUGCGUAAGUGAGGCAUAAGUCAACCAUAGACUCCUUUGAUCUUGUGCCCUUAAUCACAAUAGCGAUAGAAAUAUUUCCUAACACCAAACCAUGCUCUCAUUCCAUUUUUAAACGUGGUUUUACAGUGAUGUAGUAAAGAUCUGUAGUGCAAUACUGAAGAAAUGAACAAGGCAGAGCAGUUGUCCUUUCAUCUAGUUCACUGCUAUCCCGCUCCUUCAAUUACUACCCCAGAGUUCAUUCCCCUAGUUUUGCAGAGCCACUCCUGAGCCUACACAAAAGGUGCCCCGGGAGCACACCUUCCAGUACACUGCUGGAUUCCAGAAAAUUAUCCUGCAAGUAGUCUGUCCAGAUUUCAGAGCAUUUUCUGCAGUCACUACCCGAGAGAGAGGCUGUGAAAGCCUGCACAGUGUUGUACACCUCGACUGCCUCCAUCCUCAGCUGGGGAGAACCCCCUUACUCUGAAUCUUGAAUCUGCAGCCAUGUACACAGGCCAUCUACACAAUUAAUCCCUUCAAAUCUUGCCUCCAUCUCAUACACAACUUGUUCUGUUACGAGGGAGACUUCCACAAAGUCAGGGGACUAAGAUGAGAUCUUGUCUUGUGCAGUGGAUGAAUUCAUAGAUUGUAAGUGUUUGACAUAAAGCCUCAGAGCUUGUAAGUGCAAGCUGCACAACUAGAACUGUGUGGUAGGAAUGUGGCUGACUACUGUGGAAGUGUCUCCCCAGUCUGCAGUAAAAGCCCUUGUCAAGUCACUGCCGGUGAUGUGCAGUUGCCUUAUAAAUGUAAAUAAGUAAACGAAAAUGUAAAGAAAUACGCCUUGUUUCCUUCUGCCCUUCUACUCAGAAACAUAAAGAGAACUCAGUCUCAUGCUAUGGAUCACACACCUACAAAACUUCUUCUUGAAGCGAAAAAAGGCUAAAGCCAGUACAGUUUUUUUGGCACUCCUGUAACAUAAACACUGCCUUUCCUUUUGGGAGCUAAGCCUUACAUGCCAAAUUUUAAAUCCAACUGAAAUUUUGCAAUCACUGUUAACUGUGAAAAUGCUGAUGCAGCAUUCGUAUCAACAGUGUUUUGGCACUGCUUUGAAUUAAUGUUUGUUCUCCUCUCAUACAGUACUUUGGCACUAGGAAACUACUCCCCACACAAACACACCUAUUGCGUUACAACACAUGCAGCAUGAGCCUCAGGAAUGCCACAAGAGCAGCAAGGGAGGCCCACAGGCACUUUCAAAGACAAGAGGGAAGAGAAGCUACUCAGGGAUUAAAAGACAAACAUUCAGAUUACAACCACCCAUCAAUACUGGAGACAGUCCUUUCCCUUCCUCCUCACACAGACUGCAUGUCACUUGACAGGCUUGAGACCACUAAGCCCAAAAAUUAUCACAGGUUGUAUAAUUGAGCUUCAUUCCAAUUCACACAACAACAACAAAAAAAAUCCAUGCCUCUGCGUUUAGGGACCUCAUUGAUGGAACCCUUUUUAUCUCAAGUGUACAAGCUACAGAGCAGAGUCCUGAGGUGAAGGAAGACAGCAGAGGGUAGUAACCACAUCAGACACAACCAAUUUUACCUACUGAUCUUCCAAACAAGUCUACUCUCAAAGAUGCAAGGAAAUACCCCAACAGGACAUCUUUAAGAAUGUACCAAAUCCUUAGAAUCCCCAAGGCCAUGCUCAGUGCAAUACUGAUUGCUGCUGUGGUGCCAAACUUUCUAAACCUUCUGUCUGAAAGGCCACACCAGCGACCGAGCAGUCUGAUGACACCAAGUCGAAAUCACCACGCGCACACACCCACACCCACUCACAAAAGGAGACUCCCUGCACCUGAGAUUUCCAUGUCAGGCCAGGACUGCC